GGAUGUGAGGGUGAUCUGGCUGAGAUAUCUGUCACCCCAUUGAUCACCAGGGUUGAUUCAGCUGACCUGGCUGUUUAGGCAGGUGUUCCCAUCCUCCCUCACUGCUCCACGUGAGCCCCACCCAAAGCUUCACACUUGGUCGAAGAGCACAACCUUCCCAAAAAGGGGAGGACCAGUCUUCAGUCAAGGGUAUACAAGUAGCUGUGCUCCCCUGCUAGAACCUCCAAACAAGCUCUCAAUCCCUAGCUGAUGGAGUCUUUGGGAGGUGGAGCCUUGCUG
Molecule: small nuclear RNA, 279 nt
Filed under: Jaculus jaculus (lesser Egyptian jerboa)
Lineage: Eukaryota; Metazoa; Chordata; Mammalia; Rodentia; Dipodidae
Description: 7SK RNA (ENSJJAG00000003207.1)
Rfam family: 7SK RNA
About the family: 7SK was discovered as an abundant small nuclear RNA in the mid-70s but a possible function has only recently been suggested.
Source: Rfam by way of RNAcentral